GUGGGGAAUCUUAGACAAUGGGGGAAACCCUGAUCUAGCCAUGCCGCGUGAGCGAUGAAGGCCUUAGGGUUGUAAAGCUCUUUCAGCUGGGAAGAUAAUGACGGUACCAGCAGAAGAAGCCCCGGCUAACUCCGUGCCAGCAGCCGCGGUAAUACGGAGGGGGCUAGCGUUGUUCGGAAUUACUGGGCGUAAAGCGCACGUAGGCGGAUCAGAAAGUCAGAGGUGAAAUCCCAGGGCUCAACCUUGGAACUGCCUUUGAAACUCCUGGUCUUGAGGUCGAGAGAGGUGAGUGGAAUUCCGAGUGUAGCGGUGAAAUUCGUAGAUAUUCGGAGGAACACCAGUGGCGAAGGCGGCUCACUGGCUCGAUACUGACGCUGAGGUGCGCAAGCGUGGGGAGCAAACAGGAUUAGAAACCCGAGUAGUCC
Molecule: ribosomal RNA, 425 nt
Filed under: uncultured bacterium
Lineage: Bacteria
Description: partial 16S ribosomal RNA
Rfam family: Bacterial small subunit ribosomal RNA
Source: RNAcentral